UUUUCAGAAAAUACGCUCACAAGAGUGCUUUAUAUCUUUAAUUAUUAAGUAAAAAGGUAACCGAUACAAAAGAAGGACAACUUGAUACACAACGACAUGUAAAAUAAAAUACAAUUACACGGUACAUCUCUUUGGUCCCCAUCUUCCUUCGCUUAUUCGUGGAUCAUCAGAUCUAUAAAAAUGCACCAUAAAGACAGUAAAGAAAAAAACUACACAAGCGUACA
Molecule: long non-coding RNA, 224 nt
Filed under: Hordeum vulgare
Lineage: Eukaryota; Viridiplantae; Streptophyta; Magnoliopsida; Poales; Poaceae
Description: long non-coding RNA (HVUL_LNC008440)
Source: RNAcentral